Molecule: ribosomal RNA, 505 nt
Filed under: uncultured bacterium
Lineage: Bacteria
Description: partial 16S ribosomal RNA
Rfam family: Bacterial small subunit ribosomal RNA
Source: RNAcentral
GACGAACGCUGGCGGCGUGCCUAAUACACGCAAGUAGAACGCACAGUUUAUACCGUAGCUUGCUACACCAUAGACUGUGAGUUGCGAACGGGUGAGUAACGCGUAGGUAACCUGCCUGGUAGCGGGGGAUAACUAUUGGAAACGAUAGCUAAUACCGCAUAAUAUUAAUUAUUGCAUGAUAAUUAAUUGAAAGGUGCAAUUGCACCACUACCAGAUGGACCUGCGUUGUAUUAGCUAGUAGGUGAGGUAACGGCUCACCUAGGCGACGAUACAUAGCCGACCUGAGAGGGUGAUCGGCCACACUGGGACUGAGACACGGCCCAGACUCCUACGGGAGGCAGCAGUAGGGAAUCUUCGGCAAUGGACGAAAGUCUGACCGAGCAACGCCGCGUGAGUGAAGAAGGUUUUCGGAUCGUAAAGCUCUGUUGUAAGAGAAGAACGGGUGUGAGAGUGGAAAGUUCACACUGUGACGGUAUCUUACCAGAAAGGGACGGCUAACUACGUG